RNAcentral lists this ribosomal RNA (430 nucleotides) under Fusarium solani. RNAcentral's name for it is "eukaryotic LSU rRNA". The stretch from base 55 to 208 matches the Rfam family "5.8S ribosomal RNA". The record is from RNAcentral. Lineage: Eukaryota; Fungi; Ascomycota; Sordariomycetes; Hypocreales; Nectriaceae.
AAGCGGAGGAAGAUUCCGUAGGUGACUUGCGAGUAAAACAUGCCAAUAAGCGAAAACUUUCUACAACGGAUCUCUUGGCUCUGGCAUCGAUGAAGAACGCAGCGAAAUGCGAUAAGUAAUGUGAAUUGCAGAAUUCAGUGAAUCAUCGAAUCUUUGAACGCACAUUGCGCCCGCCAGUAUUCUGGCGGGCAUGCCUGUUCGAGCGUCAUUACAACCCUCAGGCCCCCGGGCCUGGCGUUGGGGAUCGGCGGAGGCCCUCCGUGGGCACACGCCGUCCCCCAAAUACAGUGGCGGUCCCGCCGCAGCUUCCAUCGCGUAGUAGCUAACACCUCGCGACUGGAGAGCGGCGCGGCCACGCCGUAAAACCCCCAACUCUUCUGAAGUUGACCUCGAAUCAGGUAGGAAUACCCGCUGAACUUAAGCAUAUCAA